GAUGAACGCUAGCUACAGGCUUAACACAUGCAAGUCGAGGGGCAUCAGGAAGAAAGCUUGCUUUCUUUGCUGGCGACCGGCGCACGGGUGAGUAACACGUAUCCAACCUGCCCUUUACUCGGGGAUAGCCUUUCGAAAGAAAGAUUAAUACCCGAUAGCAUAAUGAUUCCGCAUGGUUUCAUUAUUAAAGGAUUCCGGUAAAGGAUGGGGAUGCGUUCCAUUAGGUUGUUGGUGAGGUAACGGCCCACCAAGCCUUCGAUGGAUAGGGGUUCUGAGAGGAAGGUCCCCCACAUUGGAACUGAGACACGGUCCAAACUCCUACGGGAGGCGGCAGUGAGGAAUAUUGGUCAAUGGGCGCUAGCCUGAACCAGCCAAGUAGCGUGAAGGAUGAAGGCUCUAUGGGUCGUAAACUUCUUUUAUAUAAGAAUAAAGUGCAGUAUGUAUACUGUUUUGUAUGUAUUAUAUGAAUAAGGAUCGGCUAACUCCGUGCCAGCAGCCGCGGUAAUACGGAGGAUCCGAGCGUUAUCCGGAUUUAUUGGGUUUAAAGGGAGCGUAGGUGGACUGGUAAGUCAGUUGUGAAAGUUUGCGGCUCAACCGUAAAAUUGCAGUUGAUACUGUCAGUCUUGAGUACAGUAGAGGUGGGCGGAAUUCGUGGUGUAGCGGUGAAAUGCUUAGAUAUCACGAAGAACUCCGAUUGCGAAGGCAGCUCACUGGACUGCAACUGACACUGAUGCUCGAAAGUGUGGGUAUCAAACAGGAUUAGAUACCCUGGUAGUCCACACAGUAAACGAUGAAUACUCGCUGUUUGCGAUAUACAGUAAGCGGCCAAGCGAAAGCAUUAAGUAUUCCACCUGGGGAGUACGCCGGCAACGGUGAAACUCAAAGGAAUUGACGGGGGCCCGCACAAGCGGAGGAACAUGUGGUUUAAUUCGAUGAUACGCGAGGAACCUUACCCGGGCUUAAAUUGCAGUGGAAUGAUGUGGAAACAUGUCAGUGAGCAAUCACCGCUGUGAAGGUGCUGCAUGGUUGUCGUCAGCUCGUGCCGUGAGGUGUCGGCUUAAGUGCCAUAACGAGCGCAACCCUUAUCUUCAGUUACUAACAGGUCAUGCUGAGGACUCUGGAGAGACUGCCGUCGUAAGAUGUGAGGAAGGUGGGGAUGACGUCAAAUCAGCACGGCCCUUACGUCCGGGGCUACACACGUGUUACAAUGGGGGGUACAGAAGGCAGCUAGCGGGUGACCGUAUGCUAAUCCCAAAAGCCUCUCUCAGUUCGGAUCGAAGUCUGCAACCCGACUUCGUGAAGCUGGAUUCGCUAGUAAUCGCGCAUCAGCCAUGGCGCGGUGAAUACGUUCCCGGGCCUUGUACACACCGCCCGUCAAGCCAUGAAAGCCGGGGGUACCUGAAGUACGUAACCGCAAGGAGCGUCCUAGGGUAAAACUGGUAAUUGGGGCU
RNAcentral lists this ribosomal RNA (1451 nucleotides) under uncultured organism. RNAcentral describes it as "SSU rRNA". It matches the Rfam family "Bacterial small subunit ribosomal RNA". The record is from RNAcentral.